Molecule: transfer RNA, 73 nt
Filed under: Treponemataceae bacterium
Lineage: Bacteria; Pseudomonadati; Spirochaetota; Spirochaetia; Treponematales; Treponemataceae
Description: tRNA-Lys
Rfam family: tRNA
About the family: Transfer RNA (tRNA) molecules are approximately 80 nucleotides in length. Their secondary structure includes four short double-helical elements and three loops (D, anti-codon, and T loops).
Source: RNAcentral
GGGCCAUUAGCUCAGCUGGUAGAGCAACAGACUCUUAAUCUGUGGGUCGUAGGUUCGAACCCUACAUGGCUCA